Molecule: ribosomal RNA, 253 nt
Filed under: uncultured bacterium
Lineage: Bacteria
Description: partial 16S ribosomal RNA
Rfam family: Bacterial small subunit ribosomal RNA
Source: RNAcentral
UACGUAGGGGGCAAGCGUUGUCCGGAAUUAUUGGGCGUAAAGAGCGUGUAGGCGGUCCGGUAAGUCGGCUGUGAAAGUCCAGGGCUCAACCCUGGGAUGCCGGUCGAUACUGCCGGACUAGAGUUCGGAAGAGGCGAGUGGAAUUCCCGGUGUAGCGGUGAAAUGCGCAGAUAUCGGGAGGAACGCGUAUGGCGAAGGCAGCUCGCUGGGACGUUACUGACGCUGAGGCGCGAAAGCGUGGGGAGCGAACAGG